AUUGAACGCUGGCGGCAUGCCUUACACAUGCAAGUCGAACGGCAGCACGGGGGCAACCCUGGUGGCGAGUGGCGAACGGGUGAGUAAUGCAUCGGAACGUGUCCUCUUGUGGGGGAUAACCAGUCGAAAGAUUGGCUAAUACCGCAUGAGAUCGAGAGAUGAAAGCGGGGACCCGAGGGUAACUUCGGGCCUCGCGCGAGAGGAGCGGCCGAUGCCGGAUUAGCAGUUGGUGGGGUAAGAGCCUACCAAGGCGACGAUCCGUAGCUGGUCUGAGAGGACGACCAGCCACACUGGGACUGAGACACGGCCCAGACUCCUACGGGAGGCAGCAGUGGGGAAUUUUCCGCAAUGGGCGAAAGCCUGACGGAGUGACGCCGCGU
Molecule: ribosomal RNA, 380 nt
Filed under: uncultured bacterium
Lineage: Bacteria
Description: bacterial SSU rRNA
Rfam family: Bacterial small subunit ribosomal RNA
Source: RNAcentral